Molecule: ribosomal RNA, 1235 nt
Filed under: metagenome
Description: bacterial LSU rRNA
Rfam family: Bacterial large subunit ribosomal RNA
Source: RNAcentral
UGAAUACGAGAUGCUACGGCGUCGAAGCAGUCUAUGUCAUACUUCCAAGAAAAGCUUGCACUGUCAUAAACAAAUAAUGCCUGUACCAUAACCGACACAGGUGGGUAGGUAGAGUAUACUAAGGGGCGCGAGAUAACUCUCUCUAAGGAACUCGGCAAAAUGACUCCGUAACUUCGGGAGAAGGAGUGCCUUAUUUAUAAGGUUGCAAUAACAAGAUCCAAGCAACUGUUUACCAAAAACACAGGUCUCCGCUAAGUCGUAAGACGAUGUAUGGGGGCUGACGCCUGCCCAGUGCCAGAAGGUUAAAGAAGUUGGUUAGCAUCCGCGAAGCUGAUAACUGAAGCCCUGGUGAACGGCGGCCGUAACAAUAACGGUCCUAAGGUAGCGAAAUUCCUUGUCGGGUAAGUUCCGACCCGCACGAAAGGCGUAAUGAUUUGGAUACUGUCUCGGAGAGGGGCUCGGUGAAAUAGACUUGUCUGUGAAGAUGCGGACUACCUGCACCAGGACAGAAAGACCCUAUGAAGCUUUACUGUAACCUGAAAUUGAAAUUGGACUUUACUUGCGCAGUAUAGGUGGGAGGCGUUGAGAAUAUUCUUGCGGUAUUAUUGGAGCCAUCAGUGAGAUACCACUCUUGUAAUGUUAGAUUUCUAACUUUGUAUCAUUAUCUGGUCAAAGAACAGUUUCAGGCGGGCAGUUUGACUGGGGCGGUCGCCUCCUAAACGGUAACGGAGGCGCACAAAGGUUUCCUCUGAACGGGUAGAAAUCGUAUCUAGAGUGUAAAGGCAUAAGGAAGCUUGACUGUGAGACCUACAAGUCGAGCAGGGACGAAAGUCGGUCUUAGUGAUCUGACGGUGCUGAGUGGAAAGGCCGUCACUCAACGGAUAAAAGUUACUCUAAGGAUAACAGGCUGAUCUCCCCCAAGAGUUCACAUCGACGGGGAGGUUUGGCACCUCGAUGUCGGCUCAUCGCAUCCUGGGGCGGUAGUACGUCCCAAGGGUUGGGCUGUUCGCCCAUGAAAGCGGUACGCGAGCUGGGUUCAGAACGUCGUGAGACAGUUCGGUCCAUAUCCGGUGUAGGCGUUAGAAUAUUGAGAGGAGCCUUCUUUAGUACGAGAGGACCGAGAAGGACAUACCUCUGGUGUACCAGUUAUCGUGCCAACGGUAAACGCUGGGUAGCUAUGUGUGGAGUGGAUAACCGCUGAAAGCAUCUAAGUGGGAAGCCCACCUCAAGAUAAG